Non-coding RNA from Stereum hirsutum FP-91666 SS1, 124 nucleotides. The record is from the annotation of a RefSeq genome assembly. Lineage: Eukaryota; Fungi; Basidiomycota; Agaricomycetes; Russulales; Stereaceae.
GGCCUGAUGGUCUAGUCGUAUGAUUCCUUCUUUGGGUUCAAUCUGGCGUCCAAUCCCAUCACGGGGUUGCCUGCAGGAUAUUCCUGAUUGGAGGAGGUCCGGGGUUCAAUUCCCCGUCAGGCCC